UUUAAAUACAACCAUAAGUUUUCGUGUCUAAUUUUAAUCGUCCGUCUUAUUUAAAGAUUUUUUAUAAUUAGUAUUUUUGUUAUGAGAUGUUAAAACAUGAAUAGUUUACUCGUAACUUAUGUUUUUAAUUUUUUUUAAAGAAAAAAUUAAAUAAGACGGACGGUUAAAGUUUGACUCGAAAAACUAUGGCUGCACUUAAA
Molecule: microRNA precursor, 200 nt
Organism: Oryza sativa Indica Group (long-grained rice)
Lineage: Eukaryota; Viridiplantae; Streptophyta; Magnoliopsida; Poales; Poaceae
Rfam family: MIR812 microRNA precursor family
Source: Rfam